CUCCAAAAGGAACAUUUGAAACCAUGCAAAGACAUGGAUAUUAAAUAACCUACUCCUGAAUGAUCAUUGGGUCAAAAACGAAAUCGGAUGGAAAUCAAAAAAUUAUUUGAACGGAACGACAAUAGUGACACAACCUAUCAAAACCUCUGGGAUACAGCAAAGGCGGUGCUAAGAGGAAAGUUCAUAUCCCUAAACAUCCACAUCAAAAAGACUGAAAGAACACAAACUGACAUUCUAAGGUCACAUCUCAAGGAACUAGAGAAACAAGAACAAACCCAACCCAACCCCAGCAGAAGAAAGGAAAUAACCAAGAUCAGAGCAGAACUAAAUGAAAUUGAAACAACAACAAAAAAAUACAAAAGAUAAGUGAAACAAAAAGCUGGCUCCUUGAAAAGAUAAAUAAAGCUGAUAGACGAUUAGCAAGAUUAACCAACAAAAGAAGAGAAAAAAUCCAAAUAACCUCAAUAAGAAAUGAAAUGGGAGAUAUUACAACUGACACUGCAGAAAUACAAAAGAUCAUUCAAGCCUACUAUGAACACCUUUAUGCACAUAAAGUAGAAAACUUAGAAGAGAUGGAUAAAUUCCUGGAAAGAUACAAACCUCCUAGCUUAAAUCAAGAAGAAUUAGAUACCCCGAACAGACCAAUAACAAGCAGUGAGAUUGAAAUGGUAAUUUAAAAAUUACCAACAGAAACAAGUCCAGGACCAGACAGAUUCACAGCAGAAUUCUACCAGACAUUCAAAGAAGAAUUGGUAGCAAUCCUAUUGACACUAUUCCACAAAAUAGAGAAAGAAAGAGCCAUCCCUAAUUCAUUCUAUGAAGUCAGCAUUACUUUAAUACCAAAACCAGGAAAGGACAUAACCAGAAAACUACAGACCAAUAUCCCUGACGAACAUAGAUGCUAAAAUCCUUAACAAAAUACUAGCUAACUGAAUCCAACAACAUAUCAAAAAGAUAAUUCACCAUGAUCAAGUGGGUUUCAUACCAGGGAUGCAGGGAUGGUUUAACAUACACGAGUCAAUAAAUGUGAUACACCACAUAAACAGAAUUAAAA
This 1054-nucleotide long non-coding RNA is filed under the name Homo sapiens (human). RNAcentral describes it as "non-protein coding lnc-RMND1-2:1". The record is from RNAcentral. Lineage: Eukaryota; Metazoa; Chordata; Mammalia; Primates; Hominidae.